UGCUCCUACGGGAGGCAGCAGUGGGGAAUUUUGCGCAAUGGGGGAAACCCUGACGCAGCAACGCCGCGUGGAGGAUGAAGCCCCUUGGGGUGUAAACUCCUUUCGACCGGGACGAUAAUGACGGUACCGGUGGAAGAAGCACCGGCUAACUCUGUGCCAGCAGCCGCGGU
This 170-nucleotide ribosomal RNA is filed under the name uncultured Actinomycetales bacterium. RNAcentral describes it as "partial 16S ribosomal RNA". It matches the Rfam family "Bacterial small subunit ribosomal RNA", at positions 334 to 521 of the family's 1533-position model. The record is from RNAcentral. Lineage: Bacteria; Bacillati; Actinomycetota; Actinomycetes; Actinomycetales.